GAUGAACGCUGGCGGCGUGCCUAAUACAUGCAAGUCGAGCGAACAGACGAGGAGCUUGCUCCUCUGACGUUAGCGGCGGACGGGUGAGUAACACGUGGAUAACCUACCUAUAAGACUGGGAUAACUUCGGGAAACCGGAGCUAAUACCGGAUAAUAUAUUGAACCGCAUGGUUCAAUAGUGAAAGACGGUUUUGCUGUCACUUAUAGAUGGAUCCGCGCCGCAUUAGCUAGUUGGUAAGGUAACGGCUUACCAAGGCAACGAUGCGUAGCCGACCUGAGAGGGUGAUCGGCCAAACUGGAACUGAGACACGGUCCAGACUCCUACGGGAGGCAGCAGUAGGGAAUCUUCCGCAAUGGGCGAAAGCCUGACGGAGCAACGCCGCGUGAGUGAUGAAGGUCUUCGGAUCGUAAAACUCUGUUAUUAGGGAAGAACAAAUGUGUAAGUAACUAUGCACGUCUUGACGGUACCUAAUCAGAAAGCCACGGCUAACCACGUG
RNAcentral lists this ribosomal RNA (497 nucleotides) under uncultured bacterium. Its description in RNAcentral is "partial 16S ribosomal RNA". It matches the Rfam family "Bacterial small subunit ribosomal RNA", at positions 28 to 507 of the family's 1533-position model. The record is from RNAcentral.